UCACCAAAAGAAAAAAGAAAAAAAAAUGAACUCUGAAACCCCAAAGCUAUUCCCCCAUUUCCCAAACUCAAACGAAAGAAAGAGAAGUUAAAUCACAUGAAAAGCUCUAUGGAAACAUCUCCACGUACAUAAAAAAAUGUAUCAACUAUCUAAAUCUCAUGAACUACAAGCAUAUAUUAAUCUAUAUAUAAACCAGAACACAACUACUUCCAAAAUGGUGAAUUAGAUAGGGCAAUGGAGGAGAUAAUACCUUAUCCGAUGUUCUCGGCGGAAGACCUGUGAAACCCAAGCUAAAAUUUGAUUCUCGCAGUCAAAAUCCCAAGCUAAACUUUGCGAAAGUUGGGGAAGACGAAGAGCGAUUUUGAUGUUCUUUUAAAAACCCUAGGGCUUGCGUUGGUAGCGGGAA
This 406-nucleotide long non-coding RNA is filed under the name Elaeis guineensis (African oil palm). RNAcentral describes it as "long non-coding RNA (EGUI_LNC079328)". Lineage: Eukaryota; Viridiplantae; Streptophyta; Magnoliopsida; Arecales; Arecaceae. The record is from RNAcentral.